GCUCAAAUAGUUUAAGAAAAAUAUUGGUUUGUGGAGCCGAAGAUAUAAGCUAUUAUUUUGGGCA
Molecule: transfer RNA, 64 nt
Filed under: Plesionika ortmanni
Lineage: Eukaryota; Metazoa; Arthropoda; Malacostraca; Decapoda; Pandalidae
Description: tRNA-His
Rfam family: tRNA
About the family: Transfer RNA (tRNA) molecules are approximately 80 nucleotides in length. Their secondary structure includes four short double-helical elements and three loops (D, anti-codon, and T loops).
Source: RNAcentral